This 1006-nucleotide long non-coding RNA is filed under the name Fukomys damarensis (Damara mole-rat). RNAcentral's name for it is "lncRNA (ENSFDAG00000022652.1)". Lineage: Eukaryota; Metazoa; Chordata; Mammalia; Rodentia; Bathyergidae. The record is from RNAcentral.
AUGCUUCCAGAAAAAUCUCCGUCUUCCAGCCAAACUAUGUCUUCCACCAAAUCAAGUCUUCCAGUCAAACCCCUGUCUUCCAGACAAAAUCUAUGUCUUCCACUAAAUCCAGCUCUUCCAAUAAAGCCACGUCUUCCAGAAAAUUCAUGUCUUCCAGUAAUCUCCAGGUCUUCCUACAGCUACCCAGCCUUCCAUCAGCAGGCUCAAUAUCCACGUCUUCCAACAUCUCCACUGCACCAGCCUUCUAAUAUCCAGGUCUUCCACUGUCUGCAAUAUCCAGCUCACACAGUGCCUUCAUUGCAUUUAUCCAUCCAUCCAUCCAUUGAACAAAUAUUUAUUGAGUGCCAACUGUGUGCCAGGCUUGUUUUAGUGGAGCUUAAUAUUGGCUGGAGAACAUACAUACAAUGUGCAAAUAAUUGAAUGCUUAUUCAUUAAUUGUGGUAAGGAAUUAAGGAAAAGUGAAUAUAGAACCUGUGAGAAUUUGGAAAGUCAAGGAAAGCAUUCUUGAGGAAGAAUGGUGACUCCGAAGGAUAUGGUUUCUCAUUUGGUUAUUAAAACAAGAUUGCGCAGGGGAUUUAGCUCAGCAGUUCCGCCACCUGCCUUGCAAGCACAAAGACCAGAGUUCAAUCCCCAGUAACAAAAAAAAAAAAAAAAAAAAAAAAAAAGAAGAAGCAUAAAACAAGCUUGUGACUUAGAUACUGCAGAUUUUUUUUCUGCCAGUUUUACCGAAUUAGAAUAAUGACAAUGAGUAUGGGAUCCAGGUGUUUGGACAUUUUUUUCUACUACUACAUUUUGUCUUAAAGCAUACUAAAGAUGUUUAAACUCUUUAAAGUAGCAUUUUUCACCUCAAGGAUUCUAUCCAAGGGAACUUCAAAAUGUUCAUAAUUUAUGUACAAAAACGUUCCUCACAUACUUAUUUGACAUAGCAAAAAGCAAAAAACCCUGAGGGUCGUGGAUUUAGCUCAGCGGUUCGGUGGCCUGCUUCGCAAGCACAAGGACCGGAGUU